RNAcentral lists this ribosomal RNA (253 nucleotides) under uncultured bacterium. Its description in RNAcentral is "partial 16S ribosomal RNA". It matches the Rfam family "Bacterial small subunit ribosomal RNA", at positions 524 to 776 of the family's 1533-position model. The record is from RNAcentral.
UACGUAGGGGGCUAGCGUUGUCCGGAUUUAUUGGGCGUAAAGAGCUCGUAGGUGGUUCGGUAAGUCGGAUGUGAAAUCUCCAGGCUCAACCUGGAGGGGUCGGUGGAAACCAUCCAGCUAGAGUCCGGAAGAGGAGAAUGGAAUUCCUGGUGUAGCGGUGAAAUGCGCAGAUAUCAGGAAGAACACCCGUGGCGAAGGCGGUUCUCUGGGACGGUACUGACGCUGAGACGCGAAAGCGUGGGGAGCGAACAGG